This 67-nucleotide transfer RNA is filed under the name Parapolybia tinctipennis. RNAcentral's name for it is "tRNA-Ser". The record is from RNAcentral. Lineage: Eukaryota; Metazoa; Arthropoda; Insecta; Hymenoptera; Vespidae.
AGUUUUUAAGCUCCAAAGCAUAUAUUUUGAAAAUAUAAAUAAGAAAUUAAUAUAUUUCUAUAAACUU